GGAUUCCCCUAGUAACUGCGAGUGAAGCGGGGAAAAGCUCAAAUUUAAAAUCUGGCAGUCUUUGGCUGUCCGAGUUGUAAUCUAGAGAAGUAUUAUCCGCGCUGGACCGUGUACAAGUCUCCUGGAAUGGGGCGUCAUAGAGGGUGAGAAUCCCGUCUUUGACACGGACUGCCAGGGCUUUGUGAUGUGCUCUCAAAGAGUCGAGUUGUUUGGGAAUGCAGCUCAAAAUGGGUGGUAAAUUCCAUCUAAAGCUAAAUAUUGGCGAGAGACCGAUAGCGAACAAGUACCGUGAGGGAAAGAUGAAAAGAACUUUGGAAAGAGAGUUAAACAGUACGUGAAAUUGCUGAAAGGGAAACGCUUGAAGUCAGUCGCGUUGGCCAGGGAUCAACCUUGCUUUUUUGCUUGGCUUACUUUCUGGUCGAUGGGUCAGCAUCAAUUUUGACUGGUGGAAAAAGUUCAAGGGAAUGUGGCAUCUUCGGAUGUGUUAUAGCCUUUGUUCGCAUACAUCAGUUGGGAUUGAGGAACUCAGCACGCCGCAAGGCCGGGUUUUUAACCACGUACGUGCUUAGGAUGCUGGCAUAAUGGCUUUAAUCGACCCGUCUUGAAACACGGACCAAGGAGUCUAACAUGCCUGCGAGUGUUUGGGUGAAAAACCCGAGCGCGUAAUGAAAGUGAAAGUUGAGAUCCCUGUCGCGGGGAGCAUUGACGCCCGGAUCUGACCUUUUGUGACGAUUCUGCGGUAGAGCAUGUAUGUUGGGACCCGAAAGAUGGUGAACUAUGCCUGAAUAGGGUGAAGCCAGAGGAAACUCUGGUGGAGCUCGUAGCGAUUCUGACGUGCAAAUCGAUCGUCAAAUUUGGGUAUAGGGGCGAAAGACUAAUCGAACCAUC
This 888-nucleotide ribosomal RNA is filed under the name Laccaria proxima. RNAcentral's name for it is "eukaryotic LSU rRNA". It matches the Rfam family "Eukaryotic large subunit ribosomal RNA", at positions 72 to 944 of the family's 3401-position model. The record is from RNAcentral. Lineage: Eukaryota; Fungi; Basidiomycota; Agaricomycetes; Agaricales; Hydnangiaceae.